RNAcentral lists this ribosomal RNA (427 nucleotides) under uncultured bacterium. Its description in RNAcentral is "bacterial SSU rRNA". It matches the Rfam family "Bacterial small subunit ribosomal RNA", at positions 355 to 774 of the family's 1533-position model. The record is from RNAcentral.
UAAGGAAUAUUGGACAAUGGGGGCAACCCUGAUCCAGCCAUCCCGCGUGUGCGAUGAAGGCCUUCGGGUUGUAAAGCACUUUUGGCAGGGAAGAAACAGCCUGGGCUAAUAUCCCGGGCGACUGACGGUACCUGCAGAAUAAGCACCGGCUAACUACGUGCCAGCAGCCGCGGUAAUACGUAGGGUGCAAGCGUUAAUCGGAAUUACUGGGCGUAAAGCGUGCGCAGGCGGUUCGGAAAGAAAGGUGUGAAAUCCCAGGGCUUAACCUUGGAACUGCACUUUUAACUACCGGGCUAGAGUACGUCAGAGGGGGGUAGAAUUCCACGUGUAGCAGUGAAAUGCGUAGAGAUGUGGAGGAAUACCGAUGGCGAAGGCAGCCCCCUGGGAUGAUACUGACGCUCAUGCACGAAAGCGUGGGGAGCAAACA